UACGUAGGCAGCAAGCGUUGUUCGGAAUUACUGGGCGUAAAGAGUGCGUAGGUGGUUGGCUAAGUUUGGUGUGAAAUUUCCCGGCUCAACUGGGAGGGUGCGCCGAAAACUGGCUAGCUAGAGUGUGGGAGAGGGACGUGGAAUUCCUGGUGUAGCGGUGAAAUGCGUAGAUAUCAGGAGGAACACCUGCGGUGUAGACGGCGUCCUGGACCAUUACUGACACUGAGGCACGAAAGCGUGGGGAGCAAACAGGAUUAGAUACCCGUGUAGU
Molecule: ribosomal RNA, 271 nt
Filed under: uncultured bacterium
Lineage: Bacteria
Description: partial 16S ribosomal RNA
Rfam family: Bacterial small subunit ribosomal RNA
Source: RNAcentral